UAAUCACCUUCCUGACACUGGUUUGAGUCUUCCUUCCCGGGACUUGAGCGGCGAAUCUCUCCAAAAGAAGUGAAGUCUAUGCGGCAGACUGGGGGUAUAAUUAUGUUUUAUGUGUUGAGUACAGCGAGGAAACUGUCCCGGUUGGUGCAGCGAUGAAUUACAAGGUACGUUUUUUGUUUUAUUGCAUCUGAGACGGGAGGGGGGGAGGGGGGAAGGAAUUGAAGUGAGGAACGACAUGUCACUUUAUACCUUGAAGUGCCAGUAAUGCUCGGUGAAGUUUGAGAAAAUUUAUUCCUGCCUUCCUCAGCCAGUUUGUAUUGUCAUGUCUUGUAUCGCAGAAGUUGGAAUUUAAAUCCAUGGGGUACUUUCCCUUCGUCUUUUCUCUUUUCCUUCUUUUCACAGCGUCAUUUCUCAUCAGAUGAAGGUGAGGCGAAGGAAGGGAAAUCUCACAUGCCGCAUAAUUCAUUUGUCACAGCGUCACUCAGCUUUGUGUCAAAACUGCCUGUCUGAAGACAUUGCACUGUGCGGCGGGUCCCGGGUGGACUGCAAGCGGCGAUCGUUGCGAUGCAGGUGGUGAAGGUGAUAGCCAUGAGAGCAGUGCUUAUGGGGGAAGCGUCCGUGGAUGGAAUCCAGACGUCAGAUAUUGCGGGUGCGGUUGUAAAGGUGCCUCCUCUAUGGUGGAGAAAUGGUGGUGGUGAUGGUCGUGCAGUGGCGGCGGCGUGAGUGUUGAGUUUGUGAAUGGUGGUGGCGAGGUGGCGUGUGGGAUGGGAAUGUGGUGUGUGUGUGUGUGUGUGUUGGCAGUAGUGGUGUCGGUGGUGUCAAAGGAAUGGAUCGGGAGGUGGUAGGUCCACGGGGUGGCGGCGCCGGUGGGGGCAGCGGCCGGGCCGGACAGACUGCCAGAGUAGCGUGUCGGGCAGCAUAGGUGGCGGGCCCGGCGAGCUGGUAGUGUCGCCCAGACUCUCGCCGAGGAGGGGUGUAGUGCGCAUUAGCUCCCUGCCAGUGUGGAGGCUGCGCUGCCACCUGGUCCCGAGUCCCGAGUCCAGGAGAGAGUAGUGGAUGUGUUUUUCCAGAACUCUGUUAUUUUUGAUGUCAGAGCGCGAGGCAGCGAGUCGUUAGUGAUAACAGAGCAUUGCUUUGGACCCCCGCUCGAAAUGAGGCUAAAGCCGUGAGUGGCUGGCCCUACACGAGGCGCCCCAGGGACAUGCCGCCGCCAGCCACUCCUGCGCCCCCACAUUCCCGCCAGUGAACACUUGAUGGAACGGAAUUGCACUCAGCCUGCCCUCGCACCCGUCAUGGGCGGCGUCGAGUGAUGGGCGGUGGUGUGGGCGGGUCAGCCAAGUAGCCACCAAGUCGGACGCGGCGGCGGCGCGAGGGCGGCUCCCUGCCCUAAGUGUCGGCUUGCCCGGCACCGCCCACCCAGGGGCCGAGGCGGACAGCUGCCACGCUCCAUUAAGGUAAAUGCCACCCAUUCACUCUACACUCCCCCUUAACGGUACUGUAUUUUUCAUU
Long non-coding RNA from Scylla paramamosain (green mud crab), 1509 nucleotides. RefSeq lists it as uncharacterized. The transcript is spliced from 2 exons. NCBI's taxonomy places the organism in Eukaryota, Metazoa, Arthropoda, Malacostraca, Decapoda, Portunidae. The record is from RefSeq and is a predicted model, not a curated record.